This 465-nucleotide ribosomal RNA is filed under the name Vreelandella stevensii. RNAcentral's name for it is "partial 16S ribosomal RNA". It matches the Rfam family "Bacterial small subunit ribosomal RNA", at positions 338 to 795 of the family's 1533-position model. The record is from RNAcentral. Lineage: Bacteria; Pseudomonadati; Pseudomonadota; Gammaproteobacteria; Oceanospirillales; Halomonadaceae.
CCUACGGGGCGCUGCAGUGGGGAAUAUUGGACAAUGGGCGAAAGCCUGAUCCAGCCAUGCCGCGUGUGUGAAGAAGGCCUUCGGGUUGUAAAGCACUUUCAGUGGGGAAGAAAGCCUUGGGGCUAAUACCCUCGAGGAAGGACAUCACCCACAGAAGAAGCACCGGCUAACUCCGUGCCAGCAGCCGCGGUAAUACGGAGGGUGCGAGCGUUAAUCGGAAUUACUGGGCGUAAAGCGCGCGUAGGCGGUCUGAUAAGCCGGUUGUGAAAGCCCCGGGCUCAACCUGGGAACGGCAUCCGGAACUGUCAGGCUAGAGUGCAGGAGAGGAAGGUAGAAUUCCCGGUGUAGCAGUGAAAUGCGUAGAGAUCGGGAGGAAUACCAGUGGCGAAGGCGGCCUUCUGGACUGACACUGACGCUGAGGUGCGAAAGCGUGGGUAACAAACAGGAUUAGAUACCCCAGUAGUC